Molecule: ribosomal RNA, 460 nt
Filed under: uncultured bacterium
Lineage: Bacteria
Description: partial 16S ribosomal RNA
Rfam family: Bacterial small subunit ribosomal RNA
Source: RNAcentral
CCUACGGGCGGCAGCAGUGAGGAAUAUUGGUCAAUGGGCGCGAGCCUGAACCAGCCAAGUAGCGUGAAGGAUGACUGCCCUACGGGUUGUAAACUUCUUUUAUAAAGGAAUAAAGUGAGGCACGUGUGCCUUUUUGUAUGUACUUUAUGAAUAAGGAUCGGCUAACUCCGUGCCAGCAGCCGCGGUAAUACGGAGGAUCCGAGCGUUAUCCGGAUUUAUUGGGUUUAAAGGGAGCGUAGAUGGGUUGUUAAGUCAGCUGUGAAAGUUUGCGGCUCAAACGUAAAAUUGCCAUUGAUACUGGAAGUCUUGAGUACAGUUGAGGUAGGCGGAAUGCGUGGUGUAGCGGUGAAAUGCUUAGAUAUCACGAAGAACUCCGAUUGAGAAGGCAGCUUACUAAACUGCCACUGACAUUGAUGCACGAAAGUGUGGGUAUCAAACAGGAUUAGAUACCCUUGUAGUC